This 359-nucleotide ribosomal RNA is filed under the name uncultured Gloeocapsopsis sp. Its description in RNAcentral is "bacterial SSU rRNA". It matches the Rfam family "Bacterial small subunit ribosomal RNA", at positions 524 to 881 of the family's 1533-position model. The record is from RNAcentral. Lineage: Bacteria; Bacillati; Cyanobacteriota; Cyanophyceae; Chroococcidiopsidales; Chroococcidiopsidaceae.
UACGGAGGAUGCAAGCGUUAUCCGGAAUGAUUGGGCGUAAAGCGUCCGCAGGUGGCCGCUCAAGUCUGCUGUCAAAGGCCAGGGCUUAACUCUGGAAAGGCAGUGGAAACUGAAGGGCUAGAGGGCGGUAGGGGCAGAGGGAAUUCCCAGUGUAGCGGUGAAAUGCGUAGAGAUUGGGAAGAACACCGGUGGCGAAAGCGCUCUGCUGGACCGCAACUGACACUCAGGGACGAAAGCUAGGGGAGCGAAUGGGAUUAGAUACCCCAGUAGUCCUAGCCGUAAACGAUGGAUACUAGGCGUAGCUUGUAUCGACCCAAGCUGUGCCGUAGCUAACGCGUUAAGUAUCCCGCCUGGGGAGU